ACAGGUGCGCGUGAUCUUCUCGACUAAUUAGCCAAUCUCUCGUUCCUGAUGCCGCGAGAAGAACCCUUUCUGACUGUCACGCUCUCCGCGAUGAUCGACGAUCGUCUCUCGCUCGUUCGCGCUUAGAUCAAAGGAUGCUUCGUGUGGGACACGCGUUGGUAAUUUUGCAGGUUGCGACGCAGAUUUAACGGUAAGGUCUGAUGAUUCUCAAUUUUCCGUGAGCCUUCGUGCAACGAACAGAGCGUUCGGAAUUUUUAUUGAUAAGGAGACAUCGAGAUAUGGGUAUUUUUGACUAAGAAAAUCAUUUUUAGUUGCGGUGAUUUGUAUCGCAAUUGGUGGUAAGAAUUAGUGCAAAGAGCAACGUUAAUAAUCGGUUUUAUAUACUCUUCUCCAGAAGGGAAAACGACAAGAAGGAGGCACAGCAAGGAGGCUAAAGACCAAAGUUGCAAUAGUUUUUAGUCAUUAGUUGAUAAUUUAUAGUUCCUAAUGCUUAGUUUUUAGAGGUAGAAUAAGCAAGGUAGUGCAAUAGAAUAGAGUGGAAAAGAAGGGAGGUAGACAUAUAAGAAGAGAAUUAGAUGUAAGAGAUGUAAAACCGAAAAGCCGAAAGGCACGGACUAAACAAUAAUAAAUAAAUAUACUCUUCUCCUUUGCUAAGUAGCAUUAACUUUUUAGCAAGUUAGAUCGCGUUGAAUGAUGCUGUAGUUAUGUUUUAAAUUAUUUAAACUCCUUGAUAAACCUCAAUGUCGUCUUUCUGAUAUUAUAUGGAAUGGUCCGAAGCGAGAACGCUGUCAGCGAACUGCACAGAUUCGUGUGUAUUACGAUACUCUUAUUGUUUUCUAGUUUCUAAAGCGUCACCGUAAAUUUUCUCGUAAAUGCUAUUACGUACAAGGUAUAUGAUAUUGCAUGUGAUAGCAAUUUCGUAUUAAAGCAACGAAGAAAGUAUAUCGUUCGUGUAUACUUGCUCGGUAAAUAGGAAUUUUAUUUUAUUUUAUUAUCUCAUUUCGCAUAUACGUGGAAGAAUUUUAAGCUCGGAAUCAAUUUUUAGACCUUAAAAUUUGUCGAUUCCUGUCCCUGUUCGUUCGACGUGGUUCAAGGAGUCUCAUCGAACAAGAUUAUUUUCGUAACGAGAUAAGGAACAGCCAGAGAUCUCGAAGCUGGUCAGUUCGUUGGCCUCGAGGAGCGUUAUCCGGCAGCCAUCUCUGCUGGAAAAUCAUCGUUCGGAUGUUUUAUCGCUCGAAGAAGCAUAAGUAGAGCAGACUACGUUACGCCGUAUCCAAUUUCCGCUUUACAGGACGAAACACAUGGAACGAUUCGUUGCUACAAACUCAUUCAUAUUCGUCGGAGUUUCUUGGAAAUGGAACAAUGCCGGCAGCUCGGCGAGCGCACGCAGAGCAAAUAAAACACCGUCUGUCGUCGAAUUAAAGGCGCCUGCCCCGGGGAGCAAGGCUUAAUGACCGAUUAAAGGCGGCGUUAUGCAACGAAAUUAAUUAUCUGCCGAUAAAUUUCGGACUCCGUGAGAGGAUGUAUUAAUGAUCGCGAUAAAGCGCGUGGCAGAAAACACGCGAGGAUACAGAUUGCAGAUUAUUUCGGCGAUAUACUCUCCGUGUACGUGUACGUGUACGUGUACACGUGAAAUCUCUGAUGAAUCCGUUCAUGGGAUAACCGUCCCGAUUUUUAAACCGAUUCCAUCGCUUAAUCGCAGCUCUGACAGGCUGUAUUCGCAAUGCGUCGCGUCGCGUCGCUGUGAAAAUGCGACCAUAUAUUCUGAGUGGCAAGAAUCGUUUCUUUACACGUUUGAACAGUCCGUUCAUUGACGAUUUUUGGCUGAAUCGAAUAACAUUGCGCGAAUAAAAUAAUUCUUGUAGCAUGUCGAUCGUUAUUCAGGAACUCCACGUAUUUCGCGGACGAUUAAUCGGAAAUUUUCCAACAAUAGAAGUAACGAUGAUUUUACAAAACUAAAUUACAAAAAUGAUUUUCAUCGUAGAUAAGGCAUUUUGUUAUUCGGAAUUUUUAAUAGCAAAAAUAUUUUUAAUAGCGGUUCUUCGAUUCCUUAAAUUUCAAAGUUUCUCGAUGUCCUUCCCUUUCUGGCGGAUCUAAACGGACGUUCGUAUAUUUCGCAGAAUUGUAUAUCAAUUUGUCAGCGCAGUGCGUAUAACGUCAGAAUCGAGAAAGCAAAUAAUCUCGAUGCAAUAUGACGUCGCGGUGAUCGCGCUGCUUUCCACGCUAUCUCAUCUAGUCUAAACAGAAAUCGGGAAAAAAGGAAAGAGGAAAUAAAGAUAAAAGCAGAGCUACGUUUUUCUAUGAAUAACUCGCGAAAACCAGUGCCCUUUAGCCGACCUAUCGACCGGAAUAAGAAUAAGCAAAAGAGCGCACGAUCGUCGUUUAAAAACAGGAACAUUUAGUUGCAAUUUAAUUAAGAGUUACCGAGAAAAUAAGAAAAGUCGGAUAACCGAACAGGACUGGUUUCACAACGUCGUCUCGUCGAAACGACGGCUUGUACGGCCGAUUACGUAACGCUCGUCCAAUUGUAGAUCUCUGAAUAAUUAGCCGCGAUCAUCGGUCCGAGUAGAAAGCUGAUUUUCCCCUUCGUCGUUGAUCGUUAGAGUCGUAUUCGCCAGAGACUCUCUUGCGGAUUGCACGAAUUGGCCUGCUAAUUAUUAUCAAUUAACGACGGGCACGGCAGAGAGAUUGACGCUAAGAAAGCGCGAAUGGCGACGAGGUCAGGAGCAAAAAGUUAAUCGAUAUUUUGAUCGGUUGUCGACAGUCGACGUUCGACGAAAGUUGUAGAGAAGGAGCCUCGAGAAGAGAAAAAGGAAGAAAAGGGAAGAGAAAAAGGAUAUGGAAAGGAGGGCGAAAACGAGAUAUAAAGAGCAGAAGGAAUUCCUUUCGGCAAGUGGAUAUUGCUAAUUCGUUAUGUAACACGUGUUUUUCUGUCACUUAUGACAGUCGCCGAUAGCGAUAUCAAUUCCAGCACAUUUGCCGGCUCGCUCGCUAAUUAUCCGCUUACGUUAAUUAUGGUAUAAGCAAUUUCGCCGAACGAUUGCGAAGCGUUCGUGGAAACGCGCGCUCCUAUUUAGCUGACGAACGCUUAAAACGAAGCGACCGAAGUCGAAGUCUUCUUCUUUGCCAUGUGGAAGAUUCGCUCAGGGAGUCGAGUCUGAAUUUGUACGAAAAUUUAUUCGCGAAACGUUCGUCCGGCUCGUAACGACGCAACGGGGCCGUCUUCCUUUUAAUCGACGCUUAAUGGAUGCAAAUUUCAUUCAGACGCGAAAGUUAGUCGCUCGCGGAGCAAAGCGAGCGAAGAAUCGACGAUCGACGAUCGGUCCAUCCAAAGGGGGGAGCUGCUCCGAGGGAAUCCGGCGCCAUUAAAGCAAAUUUCCGUAAUACUUUUCCAGUGAAAGUGAUUCGAACGGAAUCGUCCCUCGGCGUCCGAUGCCGCCACGAUCAUCGUUGAAUUUAAUUAUCACGACGGUUCGUGCGAACGUUCGUCCAGUUGGCUGGAAAGUUCGCUAGAAUCGUCGACGGAACAGAACUGUCCCCAUAAACCCUAUCAUCUUCUCCUUUCGUUGUCUCUCUUUCCUUUAAGAGAUUAAAUCUCGGAAGAUGCUUGCGCGUGAUUGAUUGGAGAUAAAUUAUUACGUUUACGUUUAAACGUAACGAUGUAAGAUCGAUUUACUUCGUACACCUGCUUCCCCCUUUCACCUUUAACAAAAAAAUUCGCAAAUUAUUCUUACGCGCUCGAUCUACUAAAAAUGCGCUACAAAGGAUGCACACCAGACAUUAAUGCGUGGUCCCUAAAAAGAUCGAAAUCUGUCGAGGGGGGCAAAAAGCAGGAGCGUCUUUGGAAAAGACACGCGACGACGCAAUUAGCGCGCGGGCGAUCGGCAUCUUGGCCGGGGAACGAGUAUAAUUCACGGUCGAAAAUCGCAGAUUACCGAGGCGAAAUCGCGAGGCCUUUCGCGAGAGACAUCGUGGCGAGCGACGCGAGUCAUUUAUCAGCCGCGAACGAUUCAAUCGCGGGCCCUGAAUUAACGUUAACUUCAACACGGCAUCCGAAUCGAUCUCCGUGUUAAUUAAUAUUCCUCGCGAGCGGCGAGCGGUGUCGAAGAAAAAGAGAAAAUCGAAACGACGGAGAGCGGAGGGAACGGUCGUGAGAAAGAGGCAAGCUACGUAGAAAGAAACGAGAGGAUGUUAGUUAAUCCUAAACCGGUUAUAAACGCGUUUGGUCAUCGUGAUAUCGUUGACUUACUAAUUGCGUGGAUAAAAGACAAAUAUAUUUCUUGGAGAAAGACAGAAGGAGCACGAUCGACUUAGGGGUUAAUCGUCGAGCCGCAACUAUCGCGAAAAUCGUUUUCGCGUGGAAAGGAAUCGGUCAGAGGUCCUAUCCUACGGAAUCUAAUUACCCUAUGUAAAUAGGUUUCAGUUGAUCCCUAUGGUCUGCGUUCGAUUAACAUUGACGUUUGUUCGUGCGCCAUUGUGAAACAUACCGGAAACGAGGAUAUCGAUAGUAGUAUCGAGUUACAUGCGCGAAAAAAAGUUUAAAUCGUUGCACAGAAAGAAAGUAAAAAGCUUCCGGAGAUUUCUGGAUUCGGCGAUCUUUUCCCUGGUCAAAUGUUUCGACGUAUCCAAGCAACGACUAUUGUAAUUUUAUAACGAUAUUAGUAACGAUACUAGAUGGUAAUAGAAACUCUUCUUUUCGUUCAUCGAGAUAAUUAUCGCCCAUCAAUUUCACGAACGAUUGUAAUUUACGUUAGAGUGGUCCAUCUCGCUCGUAGUGGCAAGCGAAAGAUGUCUCGUCAGUUAGAAUAGUAUUUCUCACUUUCUGCGGUUAUUUAUAGAAAUAUUACGUCGACAUUCUUACGUACGUUAGAAGGAAUCGUGCAAACUCACGAGGAUGGUGUUUGAUUUUCAAACAUCUUUAAAAACAUGGUUCGUCUCUCGUGGACUUGCGCUAAAGCAAAGAUGUUCUGCUUCUGCUCUAGAUCGUUCAUACGAUUAAAAACAAUAAAUACACGUCAGACGCAAUUUUAAAAAUUCGUGGUUCAAUUAAUAUAUCUCUUAAAAACGAUGUACAUUUUGAUAGGCGACACCUUGUAUCUCUAACGGACACUGUAAGUAAAAGAUACUUAAGCGGAACAAUGGUAUUUCCGGAGAGAACGUUUAUCGCUGGUCGAUUUUGAUACCCACGACUGGUAGAAAUUGUGAGACGAUGUUCCAUCUUCGUUAAGCUAGCCAGCCGAUCGUCCAAUGAAUCCGUCGAUAUAACGUGCCGAGGGAACUUUCUAUCGGACCAUUUACGCGACGUAACAUCGUGCCGUAAUUUCGCGCAAUUUAUUCGAUGGUAAGGACGCUCGGUGAAUUGUUACUCAUGCACCGCCUAAGUGUGCGCAAAGUGGUAGCUCGUGUAGUUGGGCCGUAGGUGGCCGAUACGAAAGCACGCUCGUAUCGUAAAGCACACGACAUUAUUGUUUCUCAGCUCGAAGGCUGGCGCUGAUCACCCUUGCGAGAUGGCAGAUUUCUUCUCAGACCCUUCGGCAGAGAACGGUGCAAGAUCGUUAAGAGAGGGAGAAAUAGAAACUGUUGCGUUGGAAGAAAUCUAGAUUUCCUUAUUGCGUAAGAUCACAUAGAUCCUUGCGACGGAGAUGUAUUUACGAUGUGCGCGCGUUAAAGAAUCUCUUCGAUAAUAGAAUCGCAGGAUUUCGUUGAUAGGCGAUAUGUCAAACUAUUGGAAAGUUGUUACCUUUUGUGAAGAGGAACGUUCACGAUCAUUUGAAACGUAGCGAUAGAUAUAAAAUAUAUUAUGUUCGUCUGUAGGGCCGCUAGAAAAUAAAGCUAA
Long non-coding RNA from Bombus huntii, 5836 nucleotides. RefSeq lists it as uncharacterized. Lineage: Eukaryota; Metazoa; Arthropoda; Insecta; Hymenoptera; Apidae. The transcript has 3 exons. The record is from RefSeq and is a predicted model, not a curated record.